Molecule: ribosomal RNA, 305 nt
Filed under: uncultured bacterium
Lineage: Bacteria
Description: bacterial SSU rRNA
Rfam family: Bacterial small subunit ribosomal RNA
Source: RNAcentral
CCCUACGGGGGGCAGCAGUGGGGAAUAUUGCACAAUGGGGGGAACCCUGAUGCAGCGACGCCGCGUGAGUGAAGAAGUAUUUCGGUAUGUAAAGCUCUAUCAGCAGGGAAGAUAAUGACGGUAGCAGAGGAGGAAGCUCCGGCUAACUACGUGCCAGCAGCCGCGGUAAUACGUAGGGAGCAAGCGUUGUCCGGAUUUACUGGGUGUAAAGGGUGCGUAGGCGGCCCUGCAAGUCAGAAGUGAAAUCCAUGGGCUUAACCCGUGAACUGCUUUUGAAACUGUAGGGCUUGAGUGAAGUAGAGGCA